AGAGCGGAACCGAAAGGCCUGUUUGCGCCGGAAUCCGAACAAAGUCUCCUUUUCUGGGUCUGCUUUGGGUACUCAGCUUGACUCCAUACAAAUGGAGGAAGAGGGGGCUGCAAGCAGAGGCGGCCCUAGGUAAUUUUCAAUGACCUCCAGAACUACAAGGAACCUGCAUGGAGGAGCCCUCUCUCAGGACUCACAUCAUCGAAGUGAGGCCAGCAUCGAAGGAAAAGGGUGAGGAUGCCCUCCUUUGACAUGGCUCCUUCGGCGUCGCUGACAGGGGAAUUGCCCUCAACAAAAAUGGCCGUCCAAACCGAUGAUGGGAAAAGGCGUGCACCCUUAACCAAAAUGGCCGCUCCGGCCUCGCUGACCAGCCCCUGAUAGAAGAGAUGGGCGGCAGUGCCCACUUCCAAGAUGGCGGAGGGGGCGGCGCCAUCUUGUUACCUAACGUCAGGCGGUGAGAGUUGAGAGGAGGAGAAGGAAGGAAGGAGAGUGGCGGCGGCGGCGGGAAGAUGGCCGAGAGCGAGCGGCAGGCCGCAACCACUGGAGGUAUGAUGGGGGCUGCUUCCAUAGUGGAAAACCUCAAAGGAUUACGAAGAGGCAACCCUAGCAGACAUCCCCUGCUUGGUUUCUGGCCUUCAAGGAACCAAACACGCUGGUACAGUAGGCCAGUAUGUUACACCCAGCAGGAACCAGAGCAGCAGCUGUGUUCCUUCAGAGCAAGGAGACAGUGGGGAGGGAGGGUCAGUGGGACACCCAGCCCUUUUGGGGGGCCUGAUGGGGGACUCAGACUCUCCACUGGGAAGUAAACCUUUUCUUUCCUUUU
Anolis sagrei ordinatus is the source of this 820-nucleotide non-coding RNA. The record is from RefSeq and is a predicted model, not a curated record. Lineage: Eukaryota; Metazoa; Chordata; Lepidosauria; Squamata; Anolidae.